Molecule: unclassified non-coding RNA, 231 nt
Filed under: Hevea brasiliensis (rubber tree)
Lineage: Eukaryota; Viridiplantae; Streptophyta; Magnoliopsida; Malpighiales; Euphorbiaceae
Source: RNAcentral
GAAAAAGAAAAAUAAAUUUGUGCUUAGCAAUCAUUUCAGCAAAUACCACGAAAGACCAUUCACAGUGCUGCAACAAGGCUUAGCCAUUUCAUGGGCGACACAACUGCCUUGUCUUGGAUUAAAAGAUCAUUCACAGUGCUGGGACAAGGCUUGUUAAGAAAAGCAAUCCUGCAAUGCAACACCAAGGCUAGCAUGGAAACAUUCCCCGUUACUCAACUGAUCAAUCAGUGA